UGCUACAGGCUUAACACAUGCAAGUCGAGGGGCAGCAUGGUCUUAGCUUGCUAAGGCCGAUGGCGACCGGCGCACGGGUGAGUAACACGUAUCCAACCUGCCGUCUACUCUUGGACAGCCUUCUGAAAGGAAGAUUAAUACAAGAUGGCAUCAUGAGUCCGCAUGUUCACAUGAUUAAAGGUAUUCCGGUAGACGAUGGGGAUGCGUUCCAUUAGAUAGUAGGCGGGGUAACGGCCCACCUAGUCUUCGAUGGAUAGGGGUUCUGAGAGGAAGGUCCCCCACAUUGGAACUGAGACACGGUCCAAACUCCUACGGGAGGCAGCAGUGAGGAAUAUUGGUCAAUGGGCGAGAGCCUGAACCAGCCAAGUAGCGUGAAGGAUGACUGCCUUAUGGGUUGUAAACUUCUUUUAUAAAGGAAUAAAGUCGGGUAUGGAUACCCGUUUGCAUGUACUUUAUGAAUAAGGAUCGGCUAACUCCGUGCCAGCAGCCGCGGUAAUACGGAGGAUUCGAGCGUUAUCCGGAUUUAUUGGGUUUAAAGGGAGCGUAGAUGGAUGUUUAAGUCAGUUGUGAAAGUUUGCGGCUCAACCGUAAAAUUGCAGUUGAUACUGGAUAUCUUGAGUGCAGUUGAGGCAGGCGGAAUUCGUGGUGUAGCGGUGAAAUGCUUAGAUAUCACGAAGAACUCCGAUUGCGAAGGCAGCCUGCUAAGCUGCAACUGACAUUGAGGCUCGAAAGUGUGGGUAUCAAACAGGAUUAGAUACCCUGGUAGUCCACACGGUAAACGAUGAAUACUCGCUGUUUGCGAUAUACGGCAAGCGGCCAAGCGAAAGCGUUAAGUAUUCCACCUGGGGAGUACGCCGGCAACGGUGAAACUCAAAGGAAUUGACGGGGGCCCGCACAAGCGGAGGAACAUGUGGUUUAAUUCGAUGAUACGCGAGGAACCUUACCCGGGCUUAAAUUGCAGAUGAAUUACGGUGAAAGCCGUAAGCCGCAAGGCAUCUGUGAAGGUGCUGCAUGGUUGUCGUCAGCUCGUGCCGUGAGGUGUCGGCUUAAGUGCCAUAACGAGCGCAACCCUUGUUGUCAGUUACUAACAGGUUCUGCUGAGGACUCUGACAAGACUGCCAUCGUAAGAUGUGAGGAAGGUGGGGAUGACGUCAAAUCAGCACGGCCCUUACGUCCGGGGCUACACACGUAUUACAAUGGGGGGUACAGAGGGCCGCUACCACGCGAGUGGAUGCCAAUCCCAAAAACCUCUCUCAGUUCGGACUGGAGUCUGCAACCCGACUCCACGAAGCUGGAUUCGCUAGUAAUCGCGCAUCAGCCACGGCGCGGUGAAUACGUUCCCGGGCCUUGUACACACCGCCCGUCAAGCCAUGGGAGCCGGGGGUACCUGAAGUGCGUAACCGCGAGGAGCGCCCUAGGGUAAAACUGGUGACU
RNAcentral lists this ribosomal RNA (1434 nucleotides) under uncultured organism. Its description in RNAcentral is "SSU rRNA". It matches the Rfam family "Bacterial small subunit ribosomal RNA". The record is from RNAcentral.